This 85-nucleotide transfer RNA is filed under the name Felis catus (domestic cat). It matches the Rfam family "tRNA". Rfam says of the family: Transfer RNA (tRNA) molecules are approximately 80 nucleotides in length. Their secondary structure includes four short double-helical elements and three loops (D, anti-codon, and T loops). Further hydrogen bonds mediate the characteristic L-shaped molecular structure. tRNAs have two regions of fundamental functional importance: the anti-codon, which is responsible for specific mRNA codon recognition, and the 3' end, to which the tRNAs corresponding amino acid is attached (by aminoacyl-tRNA synthetases). tRNAs cope with the degeneracy of the genetic code in two manners: having more than one tRNA (with a specific anti-codon) for a particular amino acid; and 'wobble' base-pairing, i.e. permitting non-standard base-pairing at the 3rd anti-codon position. Lineage: Eukaryota; Metazoa; Chordata; Mammalia; Carnivora; Felidae. RNAcentral also lists the same sequence under 1 other name. The record is from Rfam by way of RNAcentral.
GCCUGGGUGGCUCAGUCGGUUAAGCAUCCGACUUCGGCUCAGAUCAUGAUCUCACAGUCUGUGGGUUCAAGCCCCGCAUCGGGCU